RNAcentral lists this ribosomal RNA (506 nucleotides) under uncultured bacterium. RNAcentral's name for it is "partial 16S ribosomal RNA". It matches the Rfam family "Bacterial small subunit ribosomal RNA", at positions 28 to 523 of the family's 1533-position model. The record is from RNAcentral.
AUUGAACGCUGGCGGCAGGCCUAACACAUGCAAGUCGAACGGCAGCGGGGGGUAGCUUGCUACCCCGCCGGCGAGUGGCGGACGGGUGAGUAAUGCCUGGGGAGCUGCCCAAUCGAGGGGGAUACCAGUUGGAAACGACUGCUAAUACCGCAUACGCCCUGAGGGGGAAAGGUGGGGAUCUUCGGACCUACCGCGAUUGGAUGCACCCAGGUGGGAUUAGCUAGUUGGUGAGGUAGCGGCUCACCAAGGCGACGAUCUCUAGCUGGUCUGAGAGGAUGCCCAGCCACGCUGGAACUGAGACACGGUCCAGACUCCUACGGGAGGCAGCAGUGGGGAAUAUUGCACAAUGGGGGAAACCCUGAUGCAGCCAUGCCGCGUGUGUGAAGAAGGCCUUCGGGUUGUAAAGCACUUUCAGCGAGGAGGAAAGGGGUGAUGCUAAUACCAUCAUCCUGUGGCGUUACUCGCAGAAGAAGCACCGGCUAACUCCGUGCCAGCCGCCGCCGUAA